Molecule: long non-coding RNA, 528 nt
Filed under: Numida meleagris (helmeted guineafowl)
Lineage: Eukaryota; Metazoa; Chordata; Aves; Galliformes; Numididae
Description: lncRNA (ENSNMEG00000004147.1)
Source: RNAcentral
AGAAAAGGAAAAAAUGGGGAUAAAAUGGGGAAAAUGGGGAAAAAAUGGGGGAAAAUGGAAAGAAUGGGCAAAAAUAGGAAAAAAAGGAAAAAUGGGAAGAAAAAGGGAAAAAUGGAGAAAAAGGAUAAAAUUGGAUAACAAAAGGAAAAAAUUGGCAAAAAUGGAAAAAAAGGAAAAAUGGGAAGAGGAAAAAACGGGGGGAAAUGGGAGGAAAAGGAAGAAAAGGAAAAAAGAGGAAAAAGGAAAAAAGAGGAAGAGGAAAAAAGGAAAAUUAAAAAGGGAAAAUCGAGGAAAAAAGAGGAAAAGGAGGAAAAGGAAAAAAAGGAAAAAUAAAAAAAGGAAAAAGGAAAGAAAAACGGGAAAAAGAGGGAAAUAAAAGGGGGGGGAAGAAAAAAAUUUAAAAAGAAAAAGGAAAAAAUAUUUUAAAAUGAGGAAAAAAUUGAAAAUUUUAAGAAAAAAUUAAAUUAUAAAAAUUAAAUUUUAAAAAAAAUGAAUAAAGAUGAAAAAUUUCAAGAAGAAAAUGCUAAA